GACGAACGCUGGCGGCGUGCCUAAUACAUGCAAGUAGAACGCACAGUUUAUACCGUAGCUUGCUACACCAUAGACUGUGAGUUGCGAACGGGUGAGUAACGCGUAGGUAACCUGCCUGGUAGCGGGGGAUAACUAUUGGAAACGAUAGCUAAUACCGCAUAAUAUUGAUUAUUGCAUGAUAAUUGAUUGAAAGAUGCUAUUGCAUCACUACCAGAUGGACCUGCGUUGUAUUAGCUAGUAGGUGAGGUAACGGCUCACCUAGGCGACGAUACAUAGCCGACUGGGGAGGGUAAUCGCCCAACCUGGGCAUGAGACACGGCCAAGACUCCUACGGGAGGCAGCAGUAGGGAAUCUUCGGAAAUGGACGAAAGUCUGACCGGGCAACGCCGCGGGAGUGAAGAAGGUUUUCGGAUCGUAAAGCUCUGUUGUAAGAGAAGAAGGGGUGUGAGAGUGGAAAGUUCACACUGGGACGGUAUCUUACCAGAAAGGGACGGCUAACUACGUG
RNAcentral lists this ribosomal RNA (505 nucleotides) under uncultured bacterium. Its description in RNAcentral is "partial 16S ribosomal RNA". It matches the Rfam family "Bacterial small subunit ribosomal RNA", at positions 28 to 507 of the family's 1533-position model. The record is from RNAcentral.